This 253-nucleotide ribosomal RNA is filed under the name uncultured bacterium. RNAcentral's name for it is "partial 16S ribosomal RNA". It matches the Rfam family "Bacterial small subunit ribosomal RNA", at positions 524 to 776 of the family's 1533-position model. The record is from RNAcentral.
UACGGAGGGUGCGAGCGUUGCCCGGAAUCACUGGGCGUAAAGGGCGCGUAGGCGGCGCGGGCAGUCAACGGUGAAAGCUCGGGGCUCAACCCCGAGUCGGCCGUCGAUACUCCCGUGCUUGAGCACUGUAGAGGCAGAUGGAAUUCCGGGUGUAGCGGUGAAAUGCGUAGAGAUCCGGAAGAACACCGGUGGCGAAGGCGGUCUGCUGGGCCGAUACUGACGCUGAGGAGCGAAAGCGUGGGGAGCGAACAGG